Tupaia belangeri (northern tree shrew) is the source of this 106-nucleotide small nuclear RNA. Lineage: Eukaryota; Metazoa; Chordata; Mammalia; Scandentia; Tupaiidae. The record is from Ensembl.
GUGCUCACUUUAGCAGCACAUAUACUAAAAUUCAAAUACUACAGAAAGACUGACAUGGCAUUUGCACAAAGAUAACAUACAUGUUUCUGAAGCAUUCAUACUUUUU